Molecule: ribosomal RNA, 681 nt
Filed under: Natrinema sp.
Lineage: Archaea; Methanobacteriati; Methanobacteriota; Halobacteria; Halobacteriales; Natrialbaceae
Description: bacterial SSU rRNA
Rfam family: Archaeal small subunit ribosomal RNA
Source: RNAcentral
AAGUCUAUCGGGAAAUCCGCGCGCUUAACGCGCGGGCGUCCGGUGGAAACUGCGUGGCUUGGGACCGGAAGACCAGAGGGGUACGUCCGGGGUAGGAGUGAAAUCCCGUAAUCCUGGACGGACCACCGGUGGCGAAAGCGCCUCUGGAAGACGGAUCCGACGGUGAGGGACGAAAGCUCGGGUCACGAACCGGAUUAGAUACCCGGGUAGUCCGAGCUGUAAACGAUGUCUGCUAGGUGUGGCACAGGCUACGAGCCUGUGCUGUGCCGUAGGGAAGCCGUGAAGCAGACCGCCUGGGAAGUACGUCCGCAAGGAUGAAACUUAAAGGAAUUGGCGGGGGAGCACUACAACCGGAGGAGCCUGCGGUUUAAUUGGACUCAACGCCGGACAUCUCACCAGCAUCGACAAUGUGCAGUGAAAGUCAGGUUGAUGACCUUACUGGAGCCAUUGAGAGGAGGUGCAUGGCCGCCGUCAGCUCGUACCGUGAGGCGUCCUGUUAAGUCAGGCAACGAGCGAGACCCGCACUCCUAAUUGCCAGCAACACCCUCGUGGUGGUUGGGUACAUUAGGAGGACUGCCAGUGCCAAACUGGAGGAAGGAACGGGCAACGGUAGGUCAGUAUGCCCCGAAUGUGCUGGGCGACACGCGGGCUACAAUGGCCGAGACAGUGGGAUGCAACCCC